Molecule: ribosomal RNA, 752 nt
Filed under: Bacillus anthracis (anthrax bacterium)
Lineage: Bacteria; Bacillati; Bacillota; Bacilli; Caryophanales; Bacillaceae
Description: bacterial SSU rRNA
Rfam family: Bacterial small subunit ribosomal RNA
Source: RNAcentral
CUGGCUCAGGAUGAACGCUGGCGGCGUGCCUAAUACAUGCAAGUCGAGCGAAUGGAUUAAGAGCUUGCUCUUAUGAAGUUAGCGGCGGACGGGUGAGUAACACGUGGGUAACCUGCCCAUAAGACUGGGAUAACUCCGGGAAACCGGGGCUAAUACCGGAUAACAUUUUGAACUGCAUGGUUCGAAAUUGAAAGGCGGCUUCGGCUGUCACUUAUGGAUGGACCCGCGUCGCAUUAGCUAGUUGGUGAGGUAACGGCUCACCAAGGCAACGAUGCGUAGCCGACCUGAGAGGGUGAUCGGCCACACUGGGACUGAGACACGGCCCAGACUCCUACGGGAGGCAGCAGUAGGGAAUCUUCCGCAAUGGACGAAAGUCUGACGGAGCAACGCCGCGUGAGUGAUGAAGGCUUUCGGGUCGUAAAACUCUGUUGUUAGGGAAGAACAAGUGCUAGUUGAAUAAGCUGGCACCUUGACGGUACCUAACCAGAAAGCCACGGCUAACUACGUGCCAGCAGCCGCGGUAAUACGUAGGUGGCAAGCGUUAUCCGGAAUUAUUGGGCGUAAAGCGCGCGCAGGUGGUUUCUUAAGUCUGAUGUGAAAGCCCACGGCUCAACCGUGGAGGGUCAUUGGAAACUGGGAGACUUGAGUGCAGAAGAGGAAAGUGGAAUUCCAUGUGUAGCGGUGAAAUGCGUAGAGAUAUGGAGGAACACCAGUGGCGAAGGCGACUUUCUGGUCUGUAACUGACACUGAGG